This 253-nucleotide ribosomal RNA is filed under the name uncultured bacterium. RNAcentral describes it as "partial 16S ribosomal RNA". It matches the Rfam family "Bacterial small subunit ribosomal RNA", at positions 524 to 776 of the family's 1533-position model. The record is from RNAcentral.
GACGGAAGGGGCAAGCGUUGUUCGGAAUCACUGGGCGUAAAGCGCGUGUAGGCGGCCAGAUAAGUCGGGUGUGAAAGCCCGAGGCUCAACCUCGGAAGUGCAUUCGAAACUGUCGGGCUUGAGUAUGGGAGAGGGAAGCGGAAUUCCUGGUGUAGAGGUGAAAUCCGUAGAUAUCAGGAGGAACACCGGUGGCGAAGGUGGCCUCCUGGACCGUUUCUGACGCUGAGAUGCGAAAGCGUGGGGAGGAAACAGG